CGCCUCUUGACCAAAAAUAAGAGGUCCAGCCUGCCCAAUGAUUAUUUUAAUGGCCGCGGUAUCCUAACCGUGCGAAGGUAGCAUAAUCACUUGUCUACUAAAUAUAGACCUGUAUGAACGGCAUCACGAGGGCCAUACUGUCUCCCCAUUUUAAUCAGUAAAACUGAUCUUCCCGUGAAGAAGCGGGAAUUAAAAUAUAAGACGAGAAGACCCCAUGGAGCUUUAAACUAAGAGUCAACUGCCAAAUUACACACCAUUAAACACCGCACCAAUGACUUAAAGUUUUCGGUUGGGGCGACCGCGGAGUACAACUAAACCUCCACGAUGAACGAACAUAAAAUCUUACCCAAGAGCCACACCACAAAGGACCACUAAUGUGACAACUAUUGACCCAAAUAUUUGAUCAACGAACCUAGUUACCCUGGGGAUAACAGCGCAAUCCAUUUCUAGAGCCCAUAUCGACAAAUGGGUUUACGACCUCGAUGUUGGAUCAGGGUAUCCCGGUGGUGCAGCCGCUACUAAAGGUUCGUUUGUUCAACGAUUAAAACCCUACGUGAUCUGAGUUCA
RNAcentral lists this ribosomal RNA (567 nucleotides) under Breviceps fichus (highland rain frog). RNAcentral's name for it is "partial 16S ribosomal RNA". It matches the Rfam family "Bacterial large subunit ribosomal RNA", at positions 1816 to 2613 of the family's 2925-position model. Lineage: Eukaryota; Metazoa; Chordata; Amphibia; Anura; Brevicipitidae. The record is from RNAcentral.